AUUGAACGCUGGCGGCGUGCCUAACACAUGCAAGUCGAGCGGUAACAGGUGUAGCAAUACAUGCUGACGAGCGGCGGACGGGUGAGUAACGCUUGGGAAUCUGCCUGUUAGUGGGGGACAACCCGGGGAAACUCGGGCUAAUACCGCAUACGCACUACAGUGGAAAGCCGGGGACCGCAAGGCCUGGCGCUAACAGAUGAGCCCAAGUCGGAUUAGCUAGUUGGUAGGGUAACGGCCACCAAGGCGACGAUCCGUAACUGGUCUGAGAGGACGACCAGUCACACCGGAACUGAGACACGGUCCGGACUCCUACGGGAGGCAGCAGUGGGGAAUAUUGGACAAUGGGCGAAAGCCUGAUCCAGCGACGCCGCGUGGGUGAAGAAGGCCUGCGGGUUGUAAGAACCCUUUCGGUGGGGAAGAAAGCCUCGAGUUAACACCUCGGGUCUUGACGUAACCCAUAGAAGAAGCACCGGCUAACUCUGUGCCAGCCGCCG
This 494-nucleotide ribosomal RNA is filed under the name uncultured bacterium. RNAcentral's name for it is "bacterial SSU rRNA". It matches the Rfam family "Bacterial small subunit ribosomal RNA", at positions 29 to 517 of the family's 1533-position model. The record is from RNAcentral.